UGACCUCAAUCAGGUAGGACUACCCGCUGAACUUA
Molecule: ribosomal RNA, 35 nt
Filed under: Neoboletus sp. 'vividivelutinus'
Lineage: Eukaryota; Fungi; Basidiomycota; Agaricomycetes; Boletales; Boletaceae
Description: partial 28S ribosomal RNA
Source: RNAcentral